Molecule: non-coding RNA, 29 nt
Filed under: Mus musculus (house mouse)
Lineage: Eukaryota; Metazoa; Chordata; Mammalia; Rodentia; Muridae
Source: RNAcentral
UGCAAUGUCACUGGUCCUUGAGAUGUCCU